RNAcentral lists this non-coding RNA (148 nucleotides) under Gorilla gorilla gorilla (western lowland gorilla). Lineage: Eukaryota; Metazoa; Chordata; Mammalia; Primates; Hominidae. The record is from Rfam by way of RNAcentral.
GCCAGGCAUGGUGGUGCAUGCCUGUAAUCCCAGCUGCUCAGGAGGCUGAGGCAGGAGAAUCACUUGAACCCGGGAGGUGGAGACUGCAGUGAGCUGAGAUUGCACCACUGUACUCCAGCCUGGGCAACAGAGUGAGACUCUGUCUCAA